GUACAACUCUGUGCGGUGGAUCACUCGGCUCGUGUGUCGAUGAAGAGCGCAGCCAACUGUGUGAAUUAAUGUGAACUGUAACCUGCUAAGAACAUCGACAUCUUGAACGCAAAUUGCGGCCGUAGCUCCGUCUAUGGCCACGCCUGUCCGAGGGUCG
Molecule: ribosomal RNA, 157 nt
Filed under: Prosogonotrema bilabiatum
Lineage: Eukaryota; Metazoa; Platyhelminthes; Trematoda; Azygiida; Sclerodistomidae
Description: 5.8S ribosomal RNA
Rfam family: 5.8S ribosomal RNA
About the family: 5.8S ribosomal RNA (5.8S rRNA) is a component of the large subunit of the eukaryotic ribosome. It is transcribed by RNA polymerase I as part of the 45S precursor that also contains 18S and 28S rRNA.
Source: RNAcentral